ACUCAAAUGAAUUGACGGGGGCUCACACAAGCGGUGGAGCAUGUGGCUUAAUUCGAGGCUACGCGAAGAACCUUAUCCUGGGCUUGACAUGUGCGAAAGCGGUAGGGAGUAGCCCGCGGAAACGUGGGGCCAACGGUAUCCAGUCCGGAACCUACCACAGGUGCUGCAUGGCUGUCGUCAGCUCGUGUCGUGAGAUGUCGGGUUAAGUCCCAUAACGAGCGAAACCCUUGUCUCCAGUUGCCAGCGAGUCAAGUCGGGGACUCUGGAGAGACUGCCGGUGUUAAACCGGAGGAAGGGGGGGAUGACGUCAAGUCCUCAUGGCCUUUAUGCCCAGGGCUGCACACGUGCUACAAUGGCGUGUACAAAGGGAAGCAAACGCGCGAGCGGGAGCAAAUCCCAAAAAACACGCCCCAGUUCAGAUCGAAGGCUGCAACUCGCCUUCGUGAAGUUGGAAUCGCUAGUAAUCGCGGGUCAGCAACACCGCGGUGAAUGUGUUCCUGAGCCUUGCACACACCGCCCGU
Molecule: ribosomal RNA, 521 nt
Filed under: uncultured bacterium
Lineage: Bacteria
Description: partial 16S ribosomal RNA
Rfam family: Bacterial small subunit ribosomal RNA
Source: RNAcentral